RNAcentral lists this transfer RNA (74 nucleotides) under Terrimicrobium sp. RNAcentral describes it as "tRNA-Pro". It matches the Rfam family "tRNA". From Rfam's summary of the family: Transfer RNA (tRNA) molecules are approximately 80 nucleotides in length. Their secondary structure includes four short double-helical elements and three loops (D, anti-codon, and T loops). Further hydrogen bonds mediate the characteristic L-shaped molecular structure. tRNAs have two regions of fundamental functional importance: the anti-codon, which is responsible for specific mRNA codon recognition, and the 3' end, to which the tRNAs corresponding amino acid is attached (by aminoacyl-tRNA synthetases). tRNAs cope with the degeneracy of the genetic code in two manners: having more than one tRNA (with a specific anti-codon) for a particular amino acid; and 'wobble' base-pairing, i.e. permitting non-standard base-pairing at the 3rd anti-codon position. The record is from RNAcentral. RNAcentral also lists the same sequence under 4 other names. Lineage: Bacteria; Pseudomonadati; Verrucomicrobiota; Terrimicrobiia; Terrimicrobiales; Terrimicrobiaceae.
CGGGCCGUGGCUCAGCUUGGUAGAGCGCCUCGUUCGGGACGAGGAGGUCGCGAGUUCGAAUCUCGCCGGCCCGA